Molecule: ribosomal RNA, 681 nt
Filed under: Podosphaera erigerontis-canadensis
Lineage: Eukaryota; Fungi; Ascomycota; Leotiomycetes; Helotiales; Erysiphaceae
Description: eukaryotic LSU rRNA
Rfam family: Eukaryotic large subunit ribosomal RNA
Source: RNAcentral
GUAACGGCGAGUGAAGCGGUAACAGCUCAAAUUUGAAAUCUGGCGCCUCGGGGCCCGAAUUGUAAUUUGUAGAAGAUGCUUUGGGUCUGGGCCUGGCCUAAGUUCCUUGGAACAGGACGUCGUAGAGGGUGAGAAUCCCGUAUGCGGCUGGCGCCCGUGCCCGUGUAAAGCUCUUUCAACGAGUCGAGUUGUUUGGGAAUGCAGCUCUAAAUGGGUGGUAAAUUUCAUCUAAAGCUAAAUAUUGGCCAGAGACCGAUAGCGCACAAGUAGAGUGAUCGAAAGAUGAAAAGCACUUUGGAAAGAGAGUUAAACAGUACGUGAAAUUGUUGAAAGGGAAGCGCUGGCAACCAGACUUGGGCGCUGUUGAUCCGCUAGGGUUCUCUCUAGGGCACUCGGCAGCGCGCAGGCCAGCAUCGGUUUGGGGGGUUGGAGAAUGGCUGGUGGAAUGUGGCUGUCUUCGGACAGUGUUAUAGCCACCGGUGGCAUGCAGCCUCCCCGGACCGAGGACCGCGCUUCGGCUAGGAUGCUGGCGUAAUGGUUGUCAGCGACCCGUCUUGAAACACGGACCAAGGAGUCUAACAUCUAUGCGAGUGUUUGGGUGUUAAACCCAUACGCGGAAUGAAAGUGAACGUAGGUGAGAACCCGUAAGGGUGCAUCAUCGACCGAUCCUGAUGUCUUCGG